AGAGUUUGAUCCUGGCUCAGGAUGAACGCUGGCGGCGUGCCUAAUGCAUGUAAGUCGCGCGCACUGCCCUUCGGGGCAGUGAGUGGCGGACGGCUGAGGAACACGUGGGUAACCUGCCCUGCUGUGGGGGACAACGCCGCGAAAGCGGUGCUAAUCCCGCAUACGCUCCCUUCACGAGUAUGGGGGGAGGAAAGCGCUUCGGCGCGCGGUAGGAGGGGCCUGCGGCCCAUCAGGUAGUUGGCGGGGUAACGGCCCACCAAGCCGGUGACGGGUCCCUGGUCUGAGAGGACGACCAGGCAGACUGGGACUGAGACACGGCCCAGACUCCUACGGGAGGCAGCAGCAAGGAAUUUUCCCCACUGGGCGCAAGCCUGGGGGAGCAACGCCGCGUGGAGGACGACGGCCUUCGGGUUGUAAACUCCUUUUCGGGGGGAAGAUACAGACGGUACCCCCGGAAUAAGCCCCGGCUAACUUCGUGCCAGCCGCCGCGGUAAUUC
This 497-nucleotide ribosomal RNA is filed under the name uncultured bacterium. RNAcentral's name for it is "bacterial SSU rRNA". It matches the Rfam family "Bacterial small subunit ribosomal RNA", at positions 8 to 526 of the family's 1533-position model. The record is from RNAcentral.